UUAAUAGCUUUAUAGAACUUUAUUCUUUACUCAUAGAUAACAACCAAGUAAAAACUAAAAACUAAAGAACAUAUAUACUUAGCAACCUGACUACCUCAACAACCUCCUUUAAGUUCCUGGUAAAAUAAUUAUCCGCAUAUCGUCACAAGGGACAUAAUGAGACUCAAUUUUCUAAAAAUGGUACAAUGAUAGAUGCUUAUGAUAAUUUGUUUGUAACUCCUGC
RNAcentral lists this long non-coding RNA (223 nucleotides) under Carica papaya (papaya). Its description in RNAcentral is "long non-coding RNA (CPAP_LNC012373)". The record is from RNAcentral. Lineage: Eukaryota; Viridiplantae; Streptophyta; Magnoliopsida; Brassicales; Caricaceae.